UGCCAGACUCCUACGGGAGGCAGCAGUGGGGGAUAUUGCACAAUGGGGGGAACCCUGAUGCAGCGACGCCGCGUGGGUGAAGGAGCGUUUCGGCGCGUAAAGCCCUCUCGGCAGGGAAGAAGGAGGACGGUACCUGACUAAGAAGCCCCGGCUAACUACGUGCCAGCAGCCGCGGUAAUACGUGGGGGGCGAGCGUUAUCCGGAUUCACUGGGUGUAAAGGGAGCGUAGACGGCAUGGCAAGUCAGAUGUGAAAGCCCGGGGCUCAACCCCGGGACUGCAUUUGAAACUGUCAGGCUGGAGUGCAGGAGAGGUAAGUGGAAUUCCUAGUGUAGCGGUGAAAUGCGUAGAUAUUAGGAGGAACACCAGUGGCGAGGGCGGCUUACUGGACUGUAACUGACGUUGAGGCUCGAAAGCGUGGGGAGCAAACAGGAUUAGAUACCCCGGUAC
RNAcentral lists this ribosomal RNA (448 nucleotides) under uncultured bacterium. RNAcentral describes it as "partial 16S ribosomal RNA". It matches the Rfam family "Bacterial small subunit ribosomal RNA", at positions 329 to 793 of the family's 1533-position model. The record is from RNAcentral.